AUUAUUUUUAAUCAUUAUCUAAUAAACUUUUAAAUCUGUUCUUAUCAGUUUAAUAUCUGAUAUGCCCUCUAUCUGAGGACUAUAUAUUAAAUGGAUUUUUGGAACAGGGAGAUGGAAUAGGAGCUUGCUCCAUCCACUCCACGCAAGACCUUGUAUUGCAGUACCUCCAGGAAUGGUGCACCGCCC
This is a small nuclear RNA of Terrapene triunguis (Three-toed box turtle), 186 nucleotides long. Its record names the gene U2. It matches the Rfam family "U2 spliceosomal RNA". From Rfam's summary of the family: U2 is a small nuclear RNA (snRNA) component of the spliceosome (involved in pre-mRNA splicing). Complementary binding between U2 snRNA (in an area lying towards the 5' end but 3' to hairpin I) and the branchpoint sequence (BPS) of the intron results the bulging out of an unpaired adenosine, on the BPS, which initiates a nucleophilic attack at the intronic 5' splice site, thus starting the first of two transesterification reactions that mediate splicing. Lineage: Eukaryota; Metazoa; Chordata; Testudines; Emydidae. The record is from Ensembl.